RNAcentral lists this ribosomal RNA (628 nucleotides) under Vibrio parahaemolyticus. RNAcentral describes it as "partial 23S ribosomal RNA". It matches the Rfam family "Bacterial large subunit ribosomal RNA", at positions 88 to 770 of the family's 2925-position model. The record is from RNAcentral. Lineage: Bacteria; Pseudomonadati; Pseudomonadota; Gammaproteobacteria; Vibrionales; Vibrionaceae.
GUAACAACCAUUUGAGUCUGGGAUUUCUGAAUGGGGAAACCCACUAGCAUAAGCUAGUAUCGUUAUGUGAAUACAUAGCAUAACGAGGCGAACCGGGGGAACUGAAACAUCUAAGUACCCCGAGGAAAAGAAAUCAACCGAGAUUCCGAAAGUAGCGGCGAGCGAAAUUGGACUAGCCCUUAAGCUUUACACGCGUUAGACGAACGGUCUGGAAAGUCCGACGAUACAGGGUGAUAGUCCCGUAGUUGACGACGUGUGUUCAGUGAAAUCGAGUAGGGCGGGACACGUGAUAUCCUGUCUGAAUAUGGGGGGACCAUCCUCCAAGGCUAAAUACUACUGACUGACCGAUAGUGAACCAGUACCGUGAGGGAAAGGCGAAAAGAACCCCUGUGAGGGGAGUGAAAUAGAACCUGAAACCGUGUACGUACAAGCAGUAGGAGCAGGCUUUGUCCUGUGACUGCGUACCUUUUGUAUAAUGGGUCAGCGACUUAUAUUCAGUGGCAAGGUUAACCAUCUAGGGGAGCCGUAGGGAAACCGAGUCUUAACUGGGCGUUCAGUCUCUGGAUAUAGACCCGAAACCAGGUGAUCUAGCCAUGGGCAGGUUGAAGGUUGAGUAACAUCAACUGGA